RNAcentral lists this microRNA precursor (126 nucleotides) under Myotis lucifugus (little brown bat). RNAcentral's name for it is "mir-9193 microRNA precursor family". It matches the Rfam family "mir-9193 microRNA precursor family". Lineage: Eukaryota; Metazoa; Chordata; Mammalia; Chiroptera; Vespertilionidae. The record is from Rfam by way of RNAcentral.
CUUGCACCGGUGGGGUCCCUCAGCCUGGCCUGUGCCCUCUUGCAAUCUGGAACCCCCCGGGGUAUGUCAGAGAACUGGUUUUGGCCCGAUCCCAUAGGCCAGGCUGAGGGACCCCACUGGUGCACA